This is a long non-coding RNA of Astatotilapia calliptera (eastern happy), 1370 nucleotides long. The record is from Ensembl. Lineage: Eukaryota; Metazoa; Chordata; Actinopteri; Cichliformes; Cichlidae.
GUCUUGUUGUGUGCAAUACUCUCCCUUAUGUAAGACAAAAUUACCCAACAUGAGUGUUAUUCUCAGUGGGGGUGAUUGCACUGGUGCAUUCCAAACUCAAUGAGUGAUGGAAGGAGAUUGAGAGAGAGGUGAGAGAGAAAUAAUUUUUCCUUAAUGAUUAUCUUCAUUGCAGCCCUGCUGCACUCAGUGGUCUACAAUGAAGAUAAGGGAGGGAAACUGGAGGGAUAGAGGUAUCCUGCAAAAGCCAUGAGUCAAAAUUAAACUCACAAGCACCUGCUGAGCUACCACAACCCCCUAGAGUCAACAAUGUUAAGUGGAUUACUUCUUUGCAGAUUUAACCCUUACUUUAGCAUGAGUACUGAGGAGUUUUGAUAAACACUGACCAAAAGAUAAGCAGGCACUGUGUGCAGUUCAGAUCCUGUUUGCUCUUUAAAGAAUCACAUGUGCUAAGAGAGGGAUCUGAGAGUCAGUAAUAUAAGUUCUGGGGGUUUUUGUUUCAGAUUUUUCUUCAUGUACAGUACUGUGCAAAAGUUUUGAAUCUCUCCUAAUUUUUUUUUUUUUUUUUUGCUGCUAGGAAAAUGGAAAAUAUAUAGAAAUACAGUACAGAAAUACCUUUGAGUUUGAAAGUCAAUAUUUGGUAUGGUCACCUUUGCUCUUCAGCACAGCGUUAGAUCUCUUAGUCAAGCUUUAUUGUCAUUUCUUUAGGUAGACUUCAGAAAUGGAUCUCUGGGCUUCUUGAAGGACGUUCAAAGCUCUGCUUUAUAUGUUGGCUGUCUUUUAUUCUUUUCUCUGUCAGGAUGAUCCCACACUGCUUCAAUAAUGUAAAGGUUCAGACAUCAGAGAGGCCAGUACAUGACUGAUAGUGUUCCAUUGUAUGUUUCUUUUCCAACCGGGCAUGUUUUUACAGCAUUGGUAGAGUGUUUUGUGUUGAAAACACUUUCCAGAUAUCAUUGUUUUGUGGCUCAAAAUCUGAUAGUAUUUUUUCUGUGUUCAUGAUUCAGUUUAACAAAAUCCACAAAUCAACUGUCUGAAAUGCCGCCCCAAACCAUGACACAGCCUCCACCGUGUUUUACAGAUGGUUGAAGACAUUCAUUGUUGUACCUCUCUUUUUACUUCCUUCAUACAUGUUGUUAACAAAUUGAACCCAAUAAUUCAUAUUUGUAAUAAUGUUCUAGUCUUGUGUCAGAUAUUUCUUGAUUUUUUUCCCAAUUUCUUAAGAACAUUACUUGUGGAUAACUGUUUGGACCCAUCAUUCCUUCCUUUGUCCUCCACUUGUCCUGUUUCCCCAUAUUUCCAAUGUCACACUGAAAACCAUGGUAAGCUAUACCAUGUGUCCAGCUAAUAGGUAUGGGAAUCAGUUUGCAAACUGU